CUUAGGCUGAGAGAAAUAGUUCAGAAGAGAAAAAGAAUAAGACGAGCAUUUUUAGCGAACGUGUUCCUUGGCAAGAAGCAAUGAAAAUAACAACCUGGUAAAAAAUUAUCUAACAAUAGGGGAAAACAUAAUGAUACAUUAGACAUGGGCAAACCCUUCCCUAAAAAAUGCCUCACAAAAAGCAUAAUUUAAUUGUACUCUAGUUGCUGUAUUGAGAACCU
RNAcentral lists this unclassified non-coding RNA (221 nucleotides) under Hevea brasiliensis (rubber tree). The record is from RNAcentral. Lineage: Eukaryota; Viridiplantae; Streptophyta; Magnoliopsida; Malpighiales; Euphorbiaceae.